GUGGAUUCUCAAGCGUGAGGUAAGAGCAUUUGGUGGAUGCCUUGGCAUGUACAGGCGAAGAAGGACGUGGCACGCUGCGAUAAGCGUCGGGGAGUUGUGAGCAAACUUUGAUCCGGCGAUUUCCGAAUGGGGAAACCCACCUUCACCAUUUCUUCCAGUCUGCUUUCGGGCAGGCCGGGCGAGGUGGAAAAGGUAUCAUCGAGUUGAAUAAAAUAGACUUGGUGAAGCGAACCCGGGGAACUGAAACAUCUCAGUACCCGGAGGAAAAGACAUCAACAGAGAUUCCCGUAGUAGUGGCGAGCGAACCGGGACCAGGCCAGUGCCUUCAUUUCAACUAGCAGAACACUCUGGAAAGUGUGGCCGUAGCGGGUGACAGCCCCGUAUGCGAAAGUGAUGAUGAAGGACUAGAGUAGGGCGGGACACGUGAAAUCCUGUCUGAACAUGGGGGGACCACCCUCCAAGCCUAAAUACUCGUACAUGACCGAUAGCGAACACAGUACCGUGAGGGAAAGGUGAAAAGCACCCCGAUUAGGGGAGUGAAACAGUACCUGAAACCGAAUGCUUACAAGCAGUUGGAGCCUCUUUAGGGGGUGACAGCGUACCUCUUGCAUAAUGGGUCAGUGACUUAAUCUAGCAUGCAAGCUUAAGCCGUUAGGUGUAGGCGAAGCGAAAGCGAGUCUGAAUAGGGCGACUGAGUAUGUUGGAUUAGACCCGAAACCCGGCGAUCUAGGCAUGAGCAGGUUGAAGGUGCGGUAACACGCACUGGAGGACCGAACCGUUUAAUGUUGAAAAAUUAUCGGAUGACUUGUGUUUAGGGGUGAAAGGCCAAUCAAGCCGGGAAAUAGCUGGUUCUCCGCGAAAUCUAUUGAGGUAGAGCGUCAGAUGUAUGCCGAUGGGGGUAGAGCACUGGAUGGGCUAGGGCUGCGCGAGCGGUACCAAACCUAACCAAACUCCGAAUACCAUCGAGUCUUGUCUGGCAGACAGACGGCGGGUGCUAAGGUCCGUCGUCAAAAGGGAAACAGCCCUAACCUACAGCUAAGGUCCCCAAGUCAUAUCUAAGUGGGAAAGCAUGUGGGAAUCCCAAAACAACCAGGAGGUUGGCUUAGAAGCAGCCAUCCUUUAAAGAAAGCGUAACAGCUCACUGGUCUAAAUAAGGGUUCCUGCGGCGAAGAUGUAACGGGGCUAAAGAUAUGCACCGAAGCUUAGGGUUGCAGUUUACUGCAGCGGUAGCGGAGCGUUCCGUAGGCGAGUGAAGCGGGAGGGUAACCGACCGUGGACGUAUCGGAAGUGCGAAUGCUGACAUGAGUAGCGACAAACAGGGUGAGAUACCCUGUCGCCGAAAGACCAAGGGUUCCUACGCAAUGCUAAUCAGCGUAGGGUGAGCCGGCCCCUAAGACGAGCCCGAAGGGGGUAGUCGAUGGGAACCACGUUAAUAUUCGUGGGCCUGAAGAUGUGUGACGGAUCGUGGAAGUUGUGUGGCCUUAUUGGAUUGGUCAUGCAGCCAAGCGGUUCCAGGAAAUAGCCUCUUCAUAUAGACCGUACCCGAAACCGACACAGGUGGUCAGGUAGAGUAUACCAAGGCGCUUGAGAGAAGUAUCCUGAAGGAACUCGGCAAAUUGCCUCCGUACCUUCGGAAGAAGGAGGCCCCAUCUUAAGGCAACUUUUGGUGGGGGGCACAGGCCAGGGGGUAGCGACUGUUUAUCAAAAACACAGGACUCUGCUAAGUCGGCUUCAAGACGACGUAUAGGGUCUGACGCCUGCCCGGUGCUGGAAGGUUAAGAGGAGGAGUGCAAGCUCCGAAUUGAAGCCCCAGUAAACGGCGGCCGUAACUAUAACGGUCCUAAGGUAGCGAAAUUCCUUGUCGGGUAAGUUCCGACCUGCACGAAUGGCGUAACGA
Molecule: ribosomal RNA, 1897 nt
Filed under: Alphaproteobacteria bacterium HGW-Alphaproteobacteria-7
Lineage: Bacteria; Pseudomonadati; Pseudomonadota; Alphaproteobacteria
Description: bacterial LSU rRNA
Rfam family: Bacterial large subunit ribosomal RNA
Source: RNAcentral